Panicum virgatum (switchgrass) is the source of this 296-nucleotide long non-coding RNA. RefSeq lists it as uncharacterized. The transcript is spliced from 2 exons. NCBI's taxonomy places the organism in Eukaryota, Viridiplantae, Streptophyta, Magnoliopsida, Poales, Poaceae. The record is from RefSeq and is a predicted model, not a curated record.
AUCUCAUGCCACGCCUCACUUUCCCUUCUCAAAUCUGCAGCAAUCGAGUGGGUCUCAGUUGUUGACUUAUUUUAAGGACCGUAGAUCAACCUCCCUUCACUUUCCCCCUUCUGCUGUGUGGUCCGGUAGUAUGUUGCUGUGGUAAAAAGCGAUGAUGGUUCCCCUAAUUUGGGUUAUAAUUUCAAUCUGAGCAUAUGUCCAUGUCAACGAUGCCGUUUUGUUAAUUUGGAAAUGAUGUAAUAUUGGUUGGAAAGUUGCUGUUAUUUGGCCUCCAUAGCUCAUCUAGCUGGUGGUAA